AAUGUGUACAUUCAUUACCAAGCGGUAAACUUCAAUGGCCUCAAAUGAAGCCCUACUGGGACUAUACAAAGUUGCAGUUCCUUCAUUGGU
Thalassophryne amazonica is the source of this 90-nucleotide long non-coding RNA. RefSeq lists it as uncharacterized. The transcript is spliced from 3 exons. The record is from RefSeq and is a predicted model, not a curated record. Lineage: Eukaryota; Metazoa; Chordata; Actinopteri; Batrachoidiformes; Batrachoididae.